RNAcentral lists this ribosomal RNA (465 nucleotides) under uncultured bacterium. RNAcentral describes it as "partial 16S ribosomal RNA". It matches the Rfam family "Bacterial small subunit ribosomal RNA", at positions 28 to 507 of the family's 1533-position model. The record is from RNAcentral.
GACGAACGCUGGCGGCGUGCUUAACACAUGCAAGUCGAACGGAAAGGCCCUGCUUGCAGGGUACUCGAGUGGCGAACGGGUGAGUAACACGUGGGUGAUCUGCCCUGCACUUCGGGAUAAGCCUGGGAAACUGGGUCUAAUACCGGAUAGGAGCCAUUUUUAGUGUGAUGGUUGGAAAGUUUUUUCGGUGUAGGAUGAGCUCGCGGCCUAUCAGCUUGUUGGUGGGGUAAUGGUCUACCAAGGCGGCGACGGGUAGCCGGCCUGAGAGGGUGGACGGCCACAUUGGGACUGAGAUACGGCCCAGACUCCUACGGGAGGCAGCAGUGGGGAAUAUUGCACAAUGGGCGCAAGCCUGAUGCAGCGACGCCGCGUGGGGGAUGACGGCCUUCGGGUUGUAAACUCCUUUCGCUAGGGACGAAGCUUUUUGUGACGGUACCUAGAUAAGAAGCACCGGCUAACUACGUG